This 64-nucleotide transfer RNA is filed under the name Lutraria maxima. RNAcentral's name for it is "tRNA-Cys". The record is from RNAcentral. Lineage: Eukaryota; Metazoa; Mollusca; Bivalvia; Venerida; Mactridae.
AACUUUGUAGUUUAUAAAAAACGUUGAAUUGCAAAUUUAAAGAAGAGCUGUUGCUCCAAGGUGU